This is a long non-coding RNA of Raphanus sativus (radish), 1441 nucleotides long. RefSeq lists it as uncharacterized. The record is from RefSeq and is a predicted model, not a curated record. Lineage: Eukaryota; Viridiplantae; Streptophyta; Magnoliopsida; Brassicales; Brassicaceae. The transcript has 2 exons.
GACUUCUCCAAACACGUUCUGUCGUUUUCUCUCCCUAAAGGCUCUUUCAAUGGCUGAUUUUCUUUUUCGUUGUUAUUACUGCUAUCGCUGGGCGGUCACUAUAUGACCUCUGAGAAACUGAAUCUUUGGAGGUCUUGAGAACAUGUUGAUCGCUGAGUCCAAGAACAUAGAAAGAAGGGGGAAUCCAUGGGACUCAUCCUCCUUGAAUAAAAGGUAUCCAAUCAACAGCCUCUAACAUAUCCGAUAUUGUUAACGUCAUCUCUCCUGAUUUGUCAUUUUGAUUCAUUUUCUGUUUCUUUUAAUUCAUGCGACGAAAACCUCUUCAUGAUCUCCCAAAGUGAAACUGUGCUACGUCAAAGUUUUAUCUCAUAAUUACUUACCACGUAAUCUAGGAGUUUACUUUUUCUCUUUAGUAUAUUAUAUCAGUCUUGGAUAAAUUACUUUACUUAUAUGGGAUAAGUGUUGCUUUUUUUCCGGAUGCGUCUUCCACCAUUGAUUUCUUGGGAUUGCAAAGAAGAAACGAACAAAGAAAAGGAAUGAAUCUGCAGUUGGGGAAGAAGGAAGUAUAUUUAACUUCAGAUUUUUCCUGGUAAUCAACUUCUUAAAUGUUUUCCCCUUACUUUCAGUUUUAACAGUCCAUGUGAAUAUGUGAUCACAUUUUCACCUUCUCUGCUAAUUCUUUGAUUCUAUAACGUAGAGUUGGAAUAUGAGAUCAGAUCGUAAUAGAAUUUUUUUAAUGUGCUAUUCUUGACUACCAAUGCUGCCUUUUCCUGAAUUCAGCAAAAGACGGUGCCCUCCACUUCAAUUCGUUAAUCUCAAGAAAACAAAAUAUGCUAUGGGUAUUCAAUAAAGCUUCUGAAGUUUAUUAUUAACAUAACUGAUAAAAGUUUCAUUUUAAAUACAGGUUGCUUGAAUGGAGUUCAGAGUUCUUUCAAACAAGCUAGAACUCAGUUCCUCUUGAAAGCAAAGGAGAUUCAAGAUUAUAUAGAUAGUAAACACCGAGGAGAAUAUAACAUUAUUUACUCCUUUUGUUACAAGAUCAAAUCGCUAAAGUAGGGGAUUUGAUUUAUAUUCUUUUGGAUCAUAAUGAAAAUAGGUCCUUAUAUAUCUAAGGAGACCUCUGUUACAGGUUCCCCAAAAAAAAAGACCUCUGUUUCAUUUCUGUAAAUGAUAAACACUUGAUGCAUCAGAGUUCUGGAUUUUUUUGUGACUACAAAGAGGCAAAGCUGAAGUAGCCAAACAAUUCAUCUCCCACGAUCUAAAUAAAACAGCUCCUAAAUUUCUUCGUACAGUUUAACGGUGUGAAUAAUAAAUUUGUAUGAUAGUAUUUGUUUUUAUCCAAAUUCUUAAUCUCUUAGUCCUAAUUUUUUUAAUAGAGCAUAUGCUCUUUUAUAUGCACCUCAUCAAAACAUAUCCAAAUAAACUCUAAUGCUUAUUUGUC